RNAcentral lists this long non-coding RNA (1604 nucleotides) under Salmo salar (Atlantic salmon). RNAcentral's name for it is "lncRNA (ENSSSAG00000099251.1)". The record is from RNAcentral. Lineage: Eukaryota; Metazoa; Chordata; Actinopteri; Salmoniformes; Salmonidae.
GUCCCACCUUAUUAGCUCUGACUUUGCUGAUAGACACUUUAUCGAGGAGAAAUAUACUUACUAUGACUGAGAUAGGUGGUUGUUCCACCCAUCUAUCUUAAGAUGAAUUCACUAACUGUAAGUCACUCUGGAUAUGAGCAUCUGUUAAAUGACUAACAUGUAAAGAAAAUGUAAACAUUCAGUCAAUGUCAUAAUGUAGGGUGACAUUACUCCUUGGUUAACCGCCUGUGUCUCAGGGACAGGGCUCCUGUAACUGGACAGGCCACUGCAGAUGUCUGCUACUCCAUGUGUCUGGAAUGUCUGUGUGGUGACACCAUCUGUCAACAUAGAGAAAGACGUUAAGAGACCUGAUACUUCUCUCUCAGUGGAGGCUGCUGAGGGGAGGACGGCUCAUAAUAAUGGCUGGAACGGAGCAAAUGGAAUGGAAUCAAACACAUAGAAACCAUAGAAACCAUGUGUUUGAUGUAUUUGAUACCAUUCUACAGACAUGGGUCAAUGGUACUGGUUGAAAUGUUUUUGGAGGUUUUUAGGCUUAGUAAUUUUCCUCCGGCUUUUUUUUCCCUAUACAUGCCAUUGUAACAAUUAGUCAUGAAUCGUAUAGUCAACAGUGUCUUGAAUUGUAUGAGAGUACUUGUUCAUCAGUGGAAAAACAGGUCAGGUCAGAUUUCAGAAAGUCAAAUGACAGAACGCAUGGUGGAGGAGGAUAUGAUUAGAGAGGCCAAUAGAGAGCACUGUUGAAGACACAAUAGAGAGAGAGAGGAGAGGUGAAGAGAGGUCAGGAGAGGUGAAGAGAGGUCAGGAGGGGUGAAGAGAGGUCAGGAGGGGUGAGAGAGGUCAGGAGGGGUGGAGAGAGGUCAGGAGGGGUGAAGAGAGGUCAGGAGGGGUGAAGAGAGGUCAGGAGAGGUGAAGAGAGGUCAGGAGGGGUGAGAGAGGUCAGGAGGGGUGAGAGAGGUCAGGAGGGGUGAAGAGAGGUCAGGAGGGGUGAAGAGAGGUCAGGAGGGGUGAGAGAGAGGUCAGGGGGUGUGAAGAGAGGGCAAGAGGGGUGAGAGAGGUCAGAAGGGGUGAGAGAGGUCAGGGGGUGUGAAGAGAGGUCAGGAGAGGUGAAGAGAGGGGUCAGGAGGGGUGAAGAGAGGUCAGGAGGGGUGAAGAGAGGUCAGGAGGGGUGAAGAGAGGUCAGGAGGGGUGAAGAGUGGUCAGGAGGGGUGACGAGCGGUCAGGAGGGGUGAAGAGAGGUCAGGAGGGGUGAAGAGAGGUCAGGAGGGGUGAUAGAGGUCAGGGGGUGUGAAGAUUAGUGUUAUGUUAGCUAGCUAGCUACAAAGUUGCUUUGUAUCAUGACAAGGUGUAGUACUGAAACGACCGAGGUUACCUAGCCAGCUACACGUUCAAAGUCAACAACGCAGCCACUGCUAGCUAGCCUACUCCACCAGCCAGCAAUACUGUAUCAUUUUAGUCAAUAACAUUUUUGCAACGUAAGCUUAACUUCCUGAACAUUCGAGACGUGUAGUCCACUUGUCAUUCCAAUCUCAUUUGCAUUAGCGUAGCCUCUUCUGUAGCUUGUCUACUAUGUGUCUGUCUAUCCCUGUUCUCUCUCCUCUGCACAGGCC